This 513-nucleotide ribosomal RNA is filed under the name uncultured bacterium. RNAcentral describes it as "partial 16S ribosomal RNA". It matches the Rfam family "Bacterial small subunit ribosomal RNA", at positions 28 to 523 of the family's 1533-position model. The record is from RNAcentral.
GACGAACGCUGGCGGCAUGCCUAAUACAUGCAAGUCGAGCGAACAGAUGAAGUGCUUGCACUUCUGACGUUAGCGGCGAACGGGUGAGUAACACGUAAGGAAUCUACCUAUAAGCGGGGGAUAACAUUCGGAAACGGGUGCUAAUACCGCAUAAUAUCUUCUUCCGCAUGGAAGAAGAUUGAAAGACGGCUCUGCUGUCACUUAUAGAUGACCUUGCGGUGCAUUAGUUAGUUGGUGGGGUAACGGCCUACCAACACGAUGAUGCAUGGCCGACCGGAGAGGGUGAUCGGCCACAUUGGGACUGAGACACGGCCCAAACUACUACGGGAGGCAGCAGUAGGGAAUCUUCCGCAAUGGGCGAAAGCCUGACGGAGCAAUGCCGCGUGAGUGAAGAAGGCCUUCGGGUCGUAAAACUCUGUUAUAAGAGAAGAACAAAUUGUAGAGUAACUGCUACAGUCUUGACGGUAUCUUAUCAGAAAGCCACGGCUAACUACGUGCCAGCCGCCGCAGUAA